GGAGGCAGCAGUGGGGAAUAUUGCCCAAUGGGCGGAAGCCUGAUGCAGCGACGCCGCGUGAGGGAUGCGGCCUUCGGGUUGUAACCUCUUUCAGCAGGGACGAAGCGAGAGUGACGGUACCUGCAGAAGAAGCACCGGCCAACUACGUGCCAGCAGCCGCGGUAAGACGUAGGGUGCGAGCGUUGUCCGGAUUUAUUGGGCGUAAAGAGCUCGUAGGCGGCUUGUCGCGUCGACCGUGAAAACUUGGGGCUCAACCCCAAGCCUGCGGUCGAUACGGGCAGGCUAGAGUUCGGUAGGGGAGACUGGAAUUCCUGGUGUAGCGGUGAAAUGCGCAGAUAUCAGGAGGAACACCGGUGGCGAAGGCGGGUCUCUGGGCCGAUACUGACGCUGAGGAGCGAAAGCGUGGGGAGCGAACAGGAUUAGAUACCCUGGUAGUCCACGCUGUAAACGUUGGGCGCUAGGUGUGGGGGGCCUCUCCGGUUCCCUGUGCCGCAGCUAACGCAUUAAGCGCCCCGCCUGGGGAGUACGGCCGCAAGGCUAAAACUCAAAGGAAUUGACGGGGGCCCGCACAAGCGGCGGAGCAUGCGGAUUAAUUCGAUGCAACGCGAAGAACCUUACCUGGGUUUGACAUGGCCGCAAAACCUCCAGAGAUGGGGGGUCCUUCGGGGGCGGUCACAGGUGGUGCAUGGCUGUCGUCAGCUCGUGUCGUGAGAUGUUGGGUUAAGUCCCGCAACGAGCGCAACCCUCGUUCGAUGUUGCCAGCGCGUUAUGGCGGGGACUCAUCGAAGACUGCCGGGGUCAACUCGGAGGAAGGUGGGGAUGACGUCAAGUCAUCAUGCCCCUUAUGUCCAGGGCUUCACGCAUGCUACAAUGGCCGGUACAAUGGGCUGCGAUACCGUGAGGUGGAGCGAAUCCCAAAAAGCCGGUCUCAGUUCGGAUCGGGGUCUGCAACUCGACCCCGUGAAGUCGGAGUCGCUAGUAAUCGCAGAUCAGCAACGCUGCGGUGAAUACGUUCCCGGGCCUUGUACACACCGCCCGUCACGUCACGAAAGUCGGCAACACCCGAAGCCGGUGGCCCAACCCUUGUGGAGGGAGCCGUCGAAGGUGGGGCUGGCGAUGGGACGAAGUCGUAACAAGUAGAGAGCGAGUU
Molecule: ribosomal RNA, 1150 nt
Filed under: Micromonospora sp.
Lineage: Bacteria; Bacillati; Actinomycetota; Actinomycetes; Micromonosporales; Micromonosporaceae
Description: bacterial SSU rRNA
Rfam family: Bacterial small subunit ribosomal RNA
Source: RNAcentral